RNAcentral lists this ribosomal RNA (253 nucleotides) under uncultured bacterium. RNAcentral's name for it is "partial 16S ribosomal RNA". It matches the Rfam family "Bacterial small subunit ribosomal RNA", at positions 524 to 776 of the family's 1533-position model. The record is from RNAcentral.
UACGUAGGUGGCAAGCGUUGUCCGGAUUUACUGGGCGUAAAGGGCGUGUAGGCGGUUUGUUUAGUCUAGGGUGAAAGCUCCCGGCUUAACUGGGAGAGGUCCUUGGAUACUGGCAAACUUGAGGGAGGCAGAGGAAAGUGGAAUUCCGAGUGUAGAGGUGAAAUUCGUAGAUAUUCGGAAGAACACCAGUGGCGAAGGCGACUUACUGGACACAUAUUGACGCUGAGGUGCGAAAGCGUGGGGAGCAAACAGG